Long non-coding RNA from Thalassophryne amazonica, 235 nucleotides. RefSeq lists it as uncharacterized. Lineage: Eukaryota; Metazoa; Chordata; Actinopteri; Batrachoidiformes; Batrachoididae. The record is from RefSeq and is a predicted model, not a curated record. The transcript has 3 exons.
UCCCAAUGAGCACAGUGGCCUUCAUCAUGGAAGAGGUUCAGAUCCAUCAGGAGUCUUCCUAGAGGUGGCUGCCCGUUUAAACUGAGUGAACGGGGGAGAAGGGCUUUAAUCAGUGAGGUGACCAAGAACCCGAGGGUCACUUUGUCAGAUCUCCAGCAUUUUUCUUGAGAGAGUAGAACCAUCCAGAAGGGCAACCAUCUCUGCAGCAAUCCACCAAUCAGGCCUGUAUGGUAGA